RNAcentral lists this ribosomal RNA (468 nucleotides) under uncultured Archaeospora. RNAcentral describes it as "SSU rRNA". It matches the Rfam family "Eukaryotic small subunit ribosomal RNA", at positions 569 to 1041 of the family's 1831-position model. The record is from RNAcentral. Lineage: Eukaryota; Fungi; Glomeromycota; Glomeromycetes; Archaeosporales; Archaeosporaceae.
AGCAGCCGCGGUAAUUCCAGCUCCAAUAGCGUAUAUUAAAGUUGUUGCAGUUAAAAAGCUCGUAGUUGAAUUUUAGGCCUGGCCAGGCGGUCCGUCUUUGGCGAGUACUGUCUUGUUGUCGGGUCUUCCUUCUGGUGAACCAGUAUGCCCUUUAUUGGGUGUGUUGGGGAGCCAGGACCAUUACCUUGAAAAAAAUUAGAGUGUUUAAAGCGGGCUAUUGCUUGAAUAGAUUAGCAUGGAAUAAUAGAAUAGGACGCUGUGGUUCUAUUUUGUUGGUUUCUAGGACCACCGUAAUGAUUAAUAGGGAUAGUUGGGGGCAUUAGUAUUCAAUUGUCAGAGGUGAAAUUCUUGGAUUUAUUGAAGACUAACUAUUGCGAAAGCAUUUGCCAAGGAUGUUUUCAUUAUCAAGAACGAAAGUUAGGGAUCGAAGACGAUCAGAUACCGUCGUAGUCUUAACCAUAAACUAUG